Molecule: ribosomal RNA, 517 nt
Filed under: uncultured soil bacterium
Lineage: Bacteria
Description: bacterial SSU rRNA
Rfam family: Bacterial small subunit ribosomal RNA
Source: RNAcentral
AGAGUUUGAUCCUGGCUCAGAUUGAACGCUGGCGGCAUGCCUUACACAUGCAAGUCGAACGGUAGAGGGGCAACCCUUGAGAGUGGCGAACGGGUGAGUAAUAUAUCGGAACGUGCCCAGUCGUGGGGGAUAACGCAGCGAAAGCUGCGCUAAUACCGCAUACGAUCUAUGGAUGAAAGCGGGGGAUCGCAAGACCUCGCGCGAUUGGAGCGGCCGAUAUCAGAUUAGGUAGUUGGUGGGGUAAAAGCCCACCAAGCCGACGAUCUGUAGCUGGUCUGAGAGGACGACCAGCCACACUGGGACUGAGACACGGCCCAGACUCCUACGGGAGGCAGCAGUGGGGAAUUUUGGACAAUGGGCGCAAGCCUGAUCCAGCAAUGCCGCGUGCAGGACGAAGGCCUUCGGGUUGUAAACUGCUUUUGUACGGAGCGAAACGGUCUGGGUUAAUACCCUGGGCUAAUGACGGUACCGUAAGAAUAAGCACCGGCUAACUANNNNNCNNCAGCCGCGGUAAUUC